UCCAGUGCGCAUGCGGAGGUCAGAGGGCAACCUGUGGGAGCCACUUCUGCCUUUUCUAUCCUGUGGAUCAUCAUUCUCGGCUGCAAAGUGCCUCUACCUGCUGAGCCAUCUCUCAAGCCCCUUUAUUUUUAACUCACAGAUACAAAGCGCUGAGCACGGCAGCGCUCAGCGCGCAAUAAGCACUCCGUCAACAUUCUCGAUUGUGAUUGCCCAGACGGACAGCACAGCGAGCAUCCAUCUGGCGCGGACCUCCUCUCUCCGGGUCUCUAACUUGCGGGAAACCUCAUCAGAAGGGGCAUCUUUAACUGAACAACUCUGAGCAGUACUUUUAAAUAUUUAAUGAAUUCCCGAGGCUCUUGGAAAGUAGAGUGAGAAACGUCCUGUAAAAAUCUAUUAGUGCUAAUAAAAUACCAGCCAACAGGCUGCCCAUUACCAGCAAUUAAGGUUUCUAAGAGGGUCAAAUAACCCUUUCAAUGAUUUGUGUGCAUCCCCUUCUUCGUUUUACGUAAGCAGACACUGAUGUGGUGUGUGUGUAGUCCCCACUCAUGCCUCAUGGUCCCAUCAAGAACCUGACAUAGACAUAUGGAUGCCAAGCUCCAAGCCACAGCUCAGAUAUUCAAAGACACAGUGCAGACAGCAAAGCUGGAGUACACGAGCCCCAUGUAAGCCUUCUGACAUCAGACAAGAAGCUACAGGAGUUUGCUCCGCUAGGUUUCAGUCUUGCUUUGAUCCAGUAUUUCCUCACUAGACCUCCAUCCCUCCAUUUUUGGAAUGGUGCAGGAUCUGAGAGGCAUCCAGCUGUUUCUGAUCACAAGUCUGCGUCAGCCCCGUCAGCAUCGUUCUGUUUGGGAGAUGGCAACAGAUGAAUGGAAUGUGGAGGAUGGACAUGAGAAGAUGUCCCACUUGCAGAGCAAUUGCUGGAGGUCACUGAGACAGGAGAGUGGAAUUUUAUCUCUGUUAAAUCCCCAAGCUUAGAGAGAAGACUUCAUUCUCUUUGCAGAAUUUAUUUUGCUAAUCCUGCCUUCUCCAGCCACACAACUCUACAACAAUAGUAAUAAAAGUCAGAUG
This is a long non-coding RNA of Peromyscus eremicus (cactus mouse), 1068 nucleotides long. RefSeq lists it as uncharacterized. The record is from RefSeq and is a predicted model, not a curated record. NCBI's taxonomy places the organism in Eukaryota, Metazoa, Chordata, Mammalia, Rodentia, Cricetidae. The transcript has 3 exons.